UAACAGUGAAGCGGCAACAGCUCAAAUUUGAAAUCUGGCCCCUAUUCCGAGUUGUAAUUUGUAGAGAGCGUUUCGGGUGAGUCUGCGGUCCAAGUCUAUUGGAACAUAGCGUCAUAGAGGGUGAGAAUCCCGUACGCGACCGCGGCACGAGCCCAAUUGAGACCUCUUCGACGAGUCGAGUUGUUUGGGAAUGCAGCUCAAAAUGGGUGGUAAAUUUCAUCUAAAGCUAAAUACCGGCUGGAGACCGAUAGCGCACAAGUAGAGUGAUCGAAAGAUGAAAAGCACUUUGGAAAGAGAGUCAAACAGUACGUGAAAUUGUUGAAAGGGAAGCGCUUGCGACCAGACCUGUCCGUAGGUGAUCAACCGCUGUUCUCAGCGGCGUACUCACUCUGCGAUCAGGCCAGCAUCGGUUUGGGCGGUCGGAUAAAGGCCCCGGGAAUGUAGCUCCCCCCCGGGGGAGUCUUAUAGCCCGGGGCGGCAUGCGGCCAGCCGAGACCGAGGACCGCGCUUCGGCUAGGAUGCUGGCGUAAUGGUUGCAAGCGACCCGUUUUGAAACACGGACCAAGGAGGCUAACAUCUAUGCGAGUGUUUGGGUGUCAAACCCAUGCGCGGAAUGAAAGU
RNAcentral lists this ribosomal RNA (621 nucleotides) under Bulbothrix isidiza. RNAcentral describes it as "LSU rRNA". It matches the Rfam family "Eukaryotic large subunit ribosomal RNA", at positions 84 to 726 of the family's 3401-position model. The record is from RNAcentral. Lineage: Eukaryota; Fungi; Ascomycota; Lecanoromycetes; Lecanorales; Parmeliaceae.